ACGUGGCAGUGGGAAGCUCAGCGGAGGGGCCACGGGCGGAGUGCGCAUGCGUCACUCUCUGGCCAGCCCUUGGGAAGGUCUGAGACGAGGGCCAGCGGCGGCCCUAGCAGGGCCCCCCCCGAGCCGCGGGGGGGUGAGUUCCCAGAGAAGGGGGCCUCGCGCGGGGGCCGACCGGGCAGGAGAAGCCGCGCCGCGCCGGCGCCCCCUAGCGUCCGCCCGGCCCGCGGCGGAUGCCCCUCCCGCCGGGGCUUGGAAACGACUCACGGCCGGCGGGCUGAGUGCAAUGGCUGAGGGGGGGCACGGUUGGUUUGCCGCCGGCUCCCUAACCCAAUUCAGACUACUCUUCCCUGCCACUUUUGCCGACUUUUGCUGCACAUACAUUCCCGGAUGACGAGGGAGGCUUCCGGUUAGGGGCGGUGCUCGGGCCUCCCUAGCCAAUCACACUCUUUCUUGCCCCCCAAAAGCGCUGCCAUGCGGCCCACCCGCUCUCUUUUCCUGCAGGUUCCAUCCGCCGCCAUCUCCCAUCCCGUGCAGCCUGGAUGGGCCGCAUCUGCCACCUCUCUUCGACUUGCAGCUGGGUUACCCCCGCGCGGGACCGUAGGAAUGAAGGACCGUCUCCUUUUUGGCGGGGGGCAGAGAAAGGGGCUUCGGCACUUAACAUGCCCCUGGGCUCCUCCGCACUUUCAGCCGAUUGCAACUCUGGUGCCCUGAUGCUUCACCAGCUCCAGCCCAGUGAAGGAGCCACGUGGGUCUUCAAGUGUCCUCCCUGACGGCCAGAACCAGCAGCCCGACAUGGCAUGGGGACCAGCGUCAGGACGUGCCUAUUUGGGAGAAGAGACUUGAGAUGGUGGCAAGGACCCCGUGAUACCUGUUAUUUGGCCUUGCCCAGGCUGGAAAUGCCCUGGAAUCGGUGAUGAGGAAGAGAGGGAAACCCCAGAGAGACCCUUCCUCAGGAGGAACAAAACCCCAACUGAAGUUGACUUUGUCUUUUUCAGCCUGCACUUCAGGAUGGUAGAAGUCUCAGGGGCCCUGGUCUCGCUCGAAGAGGUCCAUUAUUAGACUGGAGAAAUGGGUCUGGGACCCAACCCUUGAAGCCUGGAAUUGGAGCAAACCCUAACAAUAUUUAGUCCCUCUAAUAAAAUGGGCCUGAGUCACUCAUCUCUGUUUGCACAAGGGCACUGAAACUGCACAUGGCAUAGCGGGAGGAGUUAUUACUUAAAAGUGGCUGCCAGCAUGUAGGGCAGUUUCAGUCAAGAAAGGGCAUUUGGUAAGUGCAUGCUGACUGCAGAGCACUAUGGGAGAGUUUCCAGAAAAAAAAAUCCUACAUUCUCUUCAAGGUGCUUACAAAAUAUUUGAAUGAAUGAAUAUGUACGGCUGAAUAAAGAAUUGAAGAUAUAAACCUA
Ornithorhynchus anatinus (platypus) is the source of this 1403-nucleotide long non-coding RNA. RefSeq lists it as uncharacterized. The record is from RefSeq and is a predicted model, not a curated record. The transcript is spliced from 5 exons. Lineage: Eukaryota; Metazoa; Chordata; Mammalia; Monotremata; Ornithorhynchidae.